RNAcentral lists this ribosomal RNA (255 nucleotides) under uncultured bacterium. RNAcentral describes it as "partial 16S ribosomal RNA". It matches the Rfam family "Bacterial small subunit ribosomal RNA", at positions 524 to 776 of the family's 1533-position model. The record is from RNAcentral.
UACGUAGGGGGGCUAGCGUUGUCCGGAAUCAUUGGGCGUAAAGCGCGUGUAGGCGGUUCGGUAAGUCCGCUGUGAAAGUCGGGGGCUCAACCCUCGAAUGCCGGUGGAUACUGUCGAACUAGAGUGCGGAAGAGGCGAGUGGAAUUCCUGGUGUAGCGGUGAAAUGCGCAGAUAUCAGGAGGAACACCAAUUGCGAAGGCAGCUCGCUGGGACGUAACUGACGCUGGAGACGCGAAAGCGUGGGGAGCAAACAGG